UGACACGAACAGAGAUCCGGAGUUUCCUUCGUAGUGAGUUCAUUGAUUGGAGAUGACACGGAUCGCUGACACGCAGGGAGUGUGACGUGAUCUGAUGGAGCGGCAGUGGUGGAGCGUCUGGCCCUCGGGAUGGUACAACCUGAGGGGAAACGAGGACUGGUUUUGACAGUGGAGUUGAGGUGUUGAGUCAAAGCUUCACACUCCAAAGAGGCCAGCAGCUCCUGGUGAGAAACAUCUUCACCCAGACAGGAAGCUGCAGCCCCGCCUGUGAGGACGAGUGGCUGGCAGGUGAUGAAAGUUUCACCAUAACUGCUGCUGCUCCAUAAACUGUGAAGGUGCUUCAUCAUGGAGACCCAAACCACGGAGACUGAAUGAGAUGGAGAAGGUUAACCUGUAGAGGCCAGAACAUGAUCUCAGAAGGCUGAAGGAAGAACACCAGCGACCUGCUCUUCAUCUGAAAUGCUAAACUCCCGCCUUCAUACAGCCAGACGGUGUGGUGGUGCAGUGGUUAGCCCCUGGUUCAAAUCCCCUCUGAGGAGGCUGCAUGUUCAGGACAUUUGCAUUUGAAGGGGAAACUGCUCCUGCUGAACAACGUCCUUGAGCGCCAGUGAAUCUGAAGAGUGAAUGUCUGUUACCGGAUCCGUGGAGCUCGUGUGUUUGAAGAAAUUCAUCAUUAUUUUCAUCAAGGCCAGCGGAGUUUGACCCCAAUUACUGUCCCAUGACUCAGACUUCCUCUGUGGAUACGACACAAACGGACAAGAUUCAUCGAGUGACAGAUUCAUGUCACCAACAGAGGUCGACAGGAAGAAAGAAUUAAAAAGUUACAUUUU
Molecule: long non-coding RNA, 830 nt
Organism: Oryzias melastigma (Indian medaka)
Lineage: Eukaryota; Metazoa; Chordata; Actinopteri; Beloniformes; Adrianichthyidae
Exons: 6
Source: RefSeq, a predicted model, not a curated record